GCAAUACGGCAGCGGCAGACGGGAGAGUAACACGUGGGAACGUACCCUUCGGUUCGGAAUAACUCAGGGAAACUUGAGCUAAUACCGGAUACGUCCGUAAGGAGAAAGAUUUAUCGCCGAGGGAUCGGCCCGCGUCCGAUUAGCUAGUUGGUGGGGUAAUGGCCCACCAAGGCGACGAUCGGUAGCUGGUCUGAGAGGAUGAUCAGCCUCACUGGGACUGAGACACGGCCCAGACUCCUAUGGGAGGCAGCAGUGGGGAAUAUUGGACAAUGGGCGCAAGCCUGAUCCAGCCAUGCCGCGUGGGUGAUGAAGGCCCUAGGG
Molecule: ribosomal RNA, 321 nt
Filed under: uncultured bacterium
Lineage: Bacteria
Description: bacterial SSU rRNA
Rfam family: Bacterial small subunit ribosomal RNA
Source: RNAcentral